AUGAUGGUGGCCAUCAAGAAGCUCAAGAAGGAGAGCUUCCAGGGCCACCGGGAGUGGCUCACCGAGGUCACCUACCUCGGCGACCUCCACCAUGAGAACCUGGUGAAGCUCGUCGGCUACUGCUCCGACUCCGACAGCAACAAGCUGCUGGUGUACGAGUACAUGCCCCGGGACAGCCUGGAGAACCACCUGUUCCGGCGGGGCAGCCAGCCGCCGCUGCCGUGGUCCACGCGCGUCUCCGUCGCCGUCGCCGUCGCCCGCGGCCUCGCCUUCCUCCACUCCCGUGACGUCAUCUUCUGGGACCUCAAGUCCUCCAACGUGCUCCUCGGUCCCGACCACCGCGCCAAGCUCUCCAACUUCGGCCUCGCCCGGGCCGGCCCCACCGGCGUCAAGAGUCACGUCUCCACCCGCGUCGUCGGCACGCGCGGCUACGCCGCGCCCGAGUACAUGGCCACGGGCCACCUCUCGGCUAAGAGCGACGUGUACGGGUUCGGCGUGGUGCUCCUGGAGCUAAUGACGGGGCGCCGCGCGCUGGACGAGGCCCGCAGCUUGGCGUCGGAGCUGCUGGUGGACUGGGCGAUGCCGAUGCUGCAGGGGGAGCGGCGCAAGGUGAUACGGGUCAUGGACACCAGGCUCGGCGGGCAGUACCCCAAGAGGCAGGCGCAGGACAUGGCCGCACUCGUGCUCCGCUCCAUGGCCGAUGACGUCCUCCCCUCCCUCGAGCUCCUGCUGCAGCCAAGCGCCGCCAAGUCCUCCUCCUCGACAACGACGACGUCAUCCAGAUCGCCGGCCGCGUCGGCGACGCCGGUGCAUAGAGGCCACCGUCGUCACAAAGCAUAG
Molecule: ribosomal RNA, 840 nt
Filed under: Triticum aestivum (bread wheat)
Lineage: Eukaryota; Viridiplantae; Streptophyta; Magnoliopsida; Poales; Poaceae
Description: partial small subunit ribosomal RNA
Source: RNAcentral